GUAGCAACUGCUGCACCUCAAUCUUGUCGAGUGUUUUGUGUUGUUCGAACUGGUGCGUGAAAACUCCCCCGGAGGCGCGGGUCAAUUAACACUUCAUCUGUAAUAAAAAAUAAAAGAUUGGAAAAUUCUACCAGGAGCCAAUGCAAAUCAUAAAAUGAUAUUGUCGGCCAAUGUCAACUUUUGGCAAGCGAGAGAGUUGAGAUGUGUACAUAAUCAGAUGUUUAAGUUUAAAUCAUUUGGAUCAUUCUCGAAAUAAACAAUUCAUAGUGGGAAAGAACCUGCCAUAUUCCAAACGUUGUGUGUGUGAAAGGUAAUAUGGUUCGACCCAGACGAGCAGGUGACCCUCGCAGCCAAUCAGCUAAACUUUCUGAAUCUGCUCGCUCCAUUUUCCAUUUCUGUAUAGUUGUAGUCGCACAAGGAAAAAUAAAAAAAAAAAGGUAACAUUUAGAAAAUGUUACCGAGCGUUCACUCCUUAUUAGAUUACAUGAAAAAAAAAUAAGAGAGAUUACCAACACCCUUUUUUAGACGCGCUCAAUGAUGAAAAACUAAAUGUGUCGAAAUAAUUAUAUAAAAGGGCAUUAGAUUAAAUUAAAAAUUUAAAUUAGCUUUGCUCUGAUUGUUGCCGUAUUUCUGGUGGGACGGGUAUUAAAAAUUAAAUUUAAAAA
Molecule: long non-coding RNA, 665 nt
Organism: Daphnia pulicaria
Lineage: Eukaryota; Metazoa; Arthropoda; Branchiopoda; Diplostraca; Daphniidae
Exons: 2
Source: RefSeq, a predicted model, not a curated record